This 699-nucleotide ribosomal RNA is filed under the name Providencia rettgeri. RNAcentral's name for it is "bacterial SSU rRNA". It matches the Rfam family "Bacterial small subunit ribosomal RNA", at positions 49 to 740 of the family's 1533-position model. Lineage: Bacteria; Pseudomonadati; Pseudomonadota; Gammaproteobacteria; Enterobacterales; Morganellaceae. The record is from RNAcentral.
CUACACAUGCAGUCGAGCGGUAACAGGGGAAGCUUGCUUCUCGCUGACGAGCGGCGGACGGGUGAGUAAUGUAUGGGGAUCUGCCCGAUAGAGGGGGAUAACUACUGGAAACGGUAGCUAAUACCGCAUAAUCUCUCAGGAGCAAAGCAGGGGAACUUCGGUCCUUGCGCUAUCGGAUGAACCCAUAUGGGAUUAGCUAGUAGGUGAGGUAAUGGCUCACCUAGGCGACGAUCCCUAGCUGGUCUGAGAGGAUGAUCAGCCACACUGGGACUGAGACACGGCCCACACUCCUACGGGAGGCAGCAGUGGGGAAUAUUGCACAAUGGGCGCAAGCCUGAUGCAGCCAUGCCGCGUGUAUGAAGAAGGCCCUAGGGUUGUAAAGUACUUUCAGUCGGGAGGAAGGCGUUGAUGCUAAUAUCAUCAACGAUUGACGUUACCGACAGAAGAAGCACCGGCUAACUCCGUGCCAGCAGCCGCGGUAAUACGGAGGGUGCAAGCGUUAAUCGGAAUUACUGGGCGUAAAGCGCACGCAGGCGGUUGAUUAAGUUAGAUGUGAAAUCCCCGGGCUUAACCUGGGAAUGGCAUCUAAGACUGGUCAGCUAGAGUCUUGUAUAGGGGGGUAUAAUUCCAUGUGUAGCGGUGAAAUGCGUAGAGAUGUGGAGGAAUACCGGUGGCGAAGGCGGCCCCCUGGACAAAGAC